Molecule: non-coding RNA, 77 nt
Filed under: uncultured Butyrivibrio sp.
Lineage: Bacteria; Bacillati; Bacillota; Clostridia; Lachnospirales; Lachnospiraceae
Description: Cyclic di-GMP-I riboswitch
Rfam family: c-di-GMP-I riboswitch aptamer
About the family: GEMM was predicted in a large-scale screen for bacterial structured RNA regulatory elements. Genes associated with GEMM are involved in a diverse array of functions, including chemotaxis regulation, signal transduction, secretion and chitin.
Source: RNAcentral
AUAAUAGGCAAAACCGGAGUGAUCUGGUGACGCAAAACUAUAGGGUCUUAUGCAGAUGAUAAGACAGCCAGUUGCCA